This 484-nucleotide ribosomal RNA is filed under the name uncultured bacterium. RNAcentral's name for it is "partial 16S ribosomal RNA". It matches the Rfam family "Bacterial small subunit ribosomal RNA", at positions 29 to 507 of the family's 1533-position model. The record is from RNAcentral.
AUUGAACGCUGGCGGAAUGCUUUACACAUGCAAGUCGAGCGGCAGCGCGGCCCUUGGGCUGGCGGCGAGCGGCGAACGGGUGAGUAAUGCAUCGGAACAUGCCCAGUCGUGGGGGAUAACACCUCGAAAGAAGUGCUAAUACCGCAUACGUCCUGAGGGGGAAAGCGGGGGAUCGCAAGACCUCGCGCGAUUGGAGUGGCCGAUGUCAGAUUAGCUAGUUGGUGGGGUAAAGGCCUACCAAGGCGACGAUCUGUAGCUGGUCUGAGAGGAUGAUCAGCCACACUGGGACUGAGACACGGCCCAGACUCCUACGGGAGGCAGCAGUGGGGAAUUUUGGACAAUGGGGGCAACCCUGAUCCAGCCAUUCCGCGUGAGUGAAGAAGGCCUUCGGGUUGUAAAGCUCUUUCGGCGGGAACGAAACGGUGGGCUCUAACAUAGUCCGCUAAUGACGGUACCUGAAGAAGAAGCACCGGCUAACUACGUG